GACGAACGCUGGCGGCGUGCUUAACACAUGCAAGUCGAACGGAAAGGCCUGCUUUCCCUUGUGGAUUGCGGGUGCUCGAGUGGCGAACGGGUGAGUAACACGUGAGUGAUCUGCCCCCAACUUGGGUAUAAGCCUGGGAAACUGGGUCUAAUUCCCGAUAGGACUGCAGGGUGGUGCCUGUGGUGGAAAACGAUUUUCUAGUGGUUGGGGAUGAGCUCGCGGCCUAUCAGCUUGUUGGUGGGGUAAUGGCCUACCAAGGCGGCGACGGGUAGCCGGCCUGAGAGGGUGGACGGCAACAUUGGGACUGAGAUACGGCCCAGACUCCUACGGGAGGAAGCAGUGGGGAAGAUUGCACAAUGGGCGGAAGCCUGAUGCAGCGACGCCGCGUGGGGGAUGACGGCCUUCGGGUUGUAAACUCCUUUCGACCGCGAGGAAGCCACCUGGUUGGAAGGGUGGUGACGGUAGUGGUAGAAGAAGCACCGGCUAACUACGUG
RNAcentral lists this ribosomal RNA (494 nucleotides) under uncultured bacterium. Its description in RNAcentral is "partial 16S ribosomal RNA". It matches the Rfam family "Bacterial small subunit ribosomal RNA", at positions 28 to 507 of the family's 1533-position model. The record is from RNAcentral.